CACGGCAAAGAAAAAUGCUUUCUAUUUAUUUCCAAGCUUGUCCAAAUUAAUAUUUAUUAUUGCUUAUUAUCAAAUUAUUAAUUGUUGAAUAACUAAUAUUAUUAGUUCAAUCUAACUUAUACAGUAUAAUCAUUCUCUAUGCAUAAAAUUCAUUUUUAUAUUCUACUCUGGUAAUAUAAAUUUCCUAUUUUUGACACCAAUAUUGAGAUUACCAGUAAUGUGAUUAGUCAGUGUUUGUUGUCUGUUCUGUGUUCUGUGUGAACCACCGAUUACGAAAGAGGAAUAAUUGAGAUAAAAAUUUGCUGUAAGUGUGAUUCCCAUUUCGAUAAGUCUCUAAUCAACUUAGAUUCUGAUGCUGCUAAUCUUCAUUCGCAUCGUCUCUUGAUGAAAUAAUACAAAAAUGAAAUAAUGACAGCCUCGUACACGUGGUACAUGAAUUAAUUCCUAUACAUCAGCCCCCUCCAUAACACACAUCACGUUCAAACACAGAAUGACGUCAGGAUUUAUAUCAAUUGAGUAGCUCUGCGUUGCCAGUAGAAAGGCGUUCAUCUCUGUCCUAUCUGUUGAGUUCUCAGUUGGCGGCUGUGGUAUCGCGAUCGCGUCGGUUCGGUCUGGCAGUUUUAUCUUCGACAUGCCAGCAGUUUCAUUCAACUCGUCAACCGCAGCACAAGGAAUGCUGUGCACUGUUUUUCUAUUCUGAGAAAUUGUUCAGGAGCACAGAUGGCGAACUUCAAGUGAUAACCAGUUUUCAAAAAAGACAAUUCAGCGACUGAACAACGUUCGCUGUUUUCGGGGGUUUACGAAUGAGGUAGUAGUGUUUUCAAGUUGUGCGGUGUUAAGGAUUUGCGUGAGUGUUUACUAUCGAGACUUGUGGUAUCGUGGCAGAUCACAUUUUUAAUAAUUUUCAAAACUAGAGACGCGCGUAGUUUUAAAUUCACCGGGCGUGUUAUUGCCUGUUGCCCUCAGCAGAUAAGGUGCUGAUAAUAAAAGUUACUGUAUUACUUUCCAAAACAAAGUAAACUACUCCUUCGUUAAUUUACACCAGUUUGCCAAAGCCCACAAUGGACUACAUGGAGGAGAAUAACGAUGGAGACAAGCAGAGCAAACAGAUAAACAGCCAGCAGCAACAGCAGCAGCAGAGACCACCAACAGAAACGACCAAUCUGGCGCGCUAUGGCCCCUCGCGUCAGACCUACUUCAAGGAGGCGCGCGUCUCUAUACCCGACACCGAAUCGACUGGGUUCAGCUUUAAGAAGCUAUGGGCAUUUACGGGUCCUGGCUUCCUUAUGAGCAUAGCCUACCUUGAUCCAGGAAACAUAGAAUCUGAUCUUCAGUCCGGUACGCAAGCUAAGUAUAAGUUGCUAUGGGUGUUGCUGGGCUCGACGAUUCUCGGACUGAUAAUGCAGCGACUGGCGGCCCGACUGGGCGUGGUGACAGGCCUGCACCUGGCCGAGAUGUGCUACCGUCAGUACCGCAAGUGGCCACGCCUCUUCCUCUGGAUCAUGAUGGAGAUCGCCAUCAUUGGAUCGGACAUGCAGGAGGUCAUCGGCACGGCCAUCUCGCUCUACCUGCUCUCUAAUAAACUCAUUCCAUUGUGGGCCGGCGUACUUAUAACCGUAAUAGAUACAUUUUCGUUUUUAAUGCUCGACAAGUAUGGAUUGCGAAAACUCGAGUUCCUAUUUGCAAUCCUUAUAGCUGUGAUGGCUGUCACAUUUGGAUACGAGUUCAUCGUCGUAAAACCGGACGGCUUGGAGAUAAUGAAGGGUCUUGUCUAUCCAAGAUGUGACAGCACAAUUUUACUGCAGGCUGUGGGAAUAGUUGGAGCAGUUAUAAUGCCUCACAACCUCUACCUCCAUUCUGGAUUAGUAAAGUCAAGAGAAAUCCAGAGGUCGAAGCCAGAGAAAGUAAGAGAAGCCAAUAUGUACUUCUUUAUCGAAGCGUCAAUAGCGCUGGCUGUUUCUCUGGUCAUCAAUGUGUUUGUUGUAUCUGUGUUUGCACAUGGUCUCUAUGGCAAAACUAAUGCUGAUGUGAGGCAAGUUUGUUUAGCGAACCACAACGAGUACUUUGAUAGUUUCAAGAACAAUACAGAGCCUGCUAGUGUGAAUAUCUACAAGGGAGGUAUAUUUCUGGGCUGUCAGUUUGGUAUUCUGGCCAUGUACAUAUGGGCUGUCGGAAUUCUAGCCGCUGGGCAGAGUAGCACCAUGACUGGAUGCUAUGCUGGACAGUUCGCUAUGGAGGGCUUCCUGAAUCUAACAUGGAGCAGAUGGAAGCGAGUACUGUUUACGCGUAUGGUGGCCAUUCUGCCCACCUUCUACAUUGCUUUCUUCUCGAGGAUUGAGGAUCUCAGCGACAUGAACGACUUCCUGAACGCCGUCAUGAGUCUGCAACUGCCGUUCGCUACCAUACCAACCAUUGCUUUCACCAGUAAUCCUCAUAUCAUGGGCGAAUUCGUCAAUGGCCUAUGUAGCAAAGUGACAGCGGUGUGCAUCUCGGCCAUCGUGAUUGCGAUCGACAUCUACUUCGUGGCUGACUCGAUCAGUCAUCUGAGUGAGAACUGGCUGAUUGUCACAUUAAUCGGCAUCUACAGCGUCAUCUACCUGCUCAUGUGUAUCUACCUCACCAUACACAUGACUGUCAGUAUGAGCUCCAGUGAGAGGUUCAGCAAUAACCAUCUUAUCACAAAGUACAUCAGUGUCGAUCCACUAGUCGACUACCAUCUCGACCAAGACAAUGUAUCGAAUUCAAGCCUUGAUGAUCCGAAUCUGUCCAUAUAAGGUGGUGAGAAAAUGGCGUUGGUGGUUGGUGAUGGUGGAGCAUUUAUUGCUAUUUCUAAAUAAAGAAACAAUUAGCUCGCUUUCACAGGUAUACGUCAACGUUCAGUAUAAUUGACCCGGAUCGAAUAAAAUCGUGAUUUGUGAUAACCACAAAAGUCAAUUGGUGUCAUGAGGCCAAAUAGCAACCAAUUGAGUGGAAAAUAUGAACUUUUCCUGGAACGUCAUGAUCGUCGUCGUCUGAGAGACAGUGGUAUUGUGAAAUUGCAUAGACAUGUUCAUUUGUAAAAUCUCCAAAACAGAGUAUUUUUUAUAAUAAAAAAUGUGCAUAGUCAACAACUACCUGUGAUUAUUAGGCUUAGUUUGUUGGUGUUUAAAAACACUGACGUUUUACUGUAAAAAAUCUAUUUGUUGAUAUAAUAUUAGUAAGGAUAAAUUAAUAAUAUUAUUGUGAAAUUAUACGAGUAUAAUUUUGAGCUGAA
Molecule: RNA transcript, 3253 nt
Organism: Nilaparvata lugens (brown planthopper)
Lineage: Eukaryota; Metazoa; Arthropoda; Insecta; Hemiptera; Delphacidae
Gene: Mvl
Gene name: protein Malvolio
Exons: 14
Source: RefSeq, a predicted model, not a curated record